RNAcentral lists this long non-coding RNA (270 nucleotides) under Bos taurus (domestic cattle). RNAcentral describes it as "long non-coding RNA NONBTAT018582". Lineage: Eukaryota; Metazoa; Chordata; Mammalia; Artiodactyla; Bovidae. The record is from RNAcentral.
UAUUCUUUAAAGAUAUGUCUGCAUCAGCCCACCUGCACUAGUCAGAGUUAAGGAAACCACUAAUUAAAUCAUAAAUUCAGGACACCCCUCUAUUCUCACAUUUACUACAUUUGCAGGUCUCCUGCUGCCACCAUGAAAUGACUUGGACCACUAGAAACAAAGGAGCCUAAGGGCCCCUUAAGAGUAUGUGGAGUACAGGCCUCAGGAAUCUCCGAUGCUUAUCUGUUAGGUUCAUAAACCCAAAGGACAAACAAUCCUCCUGUCAACCUG